Molecule: long non-coding RNA, 1491 nt
Organism: Esox lucius (northern pike)
Lineage: Eukaryota; Metazoa; Chordata; Actinopteri; Esociformes; Esocidae
Exons: 4
Source: RefSeq, a predicted model, not a curated record
CUUUUUUCAGCCUCUGAACCAUCCAUAGUCAGUGCUUGACUUAAGCAGGAGCUGUCUGGAGAGGGCACUUUUUGCGUCAGCGAAAACUCCGCCUCUGACUCACAGGCUUGUGGAAGGUGGUCUCAUUAAUUCUUUCAACUGGAUAGAACACAUUUACUGAAAGUUCUUACCUAGGUUAAUACGUAAAGAGGGAGGAAAAUGUUAUUCUGUUUCGAAAUAACUGUGCUCUAUUCAUAACAGAGUCAUUUCAGCCAUUACAACUUCUCUGCUGAAAUGUUGUUCUGAAAAAAAGAGAUGUUUUGUCAUGCCUUCCUACAGGCAAUGGUAAAAGUUUAAUUUCUCAGGCAUGGCCGACAGUCUGCGAUUUAUUGAAACUGAAAAUGGACAAGUCAAUUAUACUAGUGGUUUCUCCUCUGAUUUCAAUAAUCGAGGAUCAGGGUCGUGUUUUGAACGACAAAAAGGAAUCGCAGCAGCAUACGCAGGUCAAAACGAGAUGGAGGACGAGAAAAUACGUUAGAUGACAACGACGUGUACAACGCAAGCCUCGGUGUCAACCCAGACUUUGCAAAUUGGCAGGGGAUCCUUACUCGUAGGACAAGCCAAAUACAGUGGACAGUUGAGGUCUAGGGAUGAAGACAAAUUGACAGGUUUCAACGUUGGUGUCAUCAGCGACAAACAGAAGACAGCCACGGUGAUGCCACUCAACACGUCCUCAAGAUCCUGGUUGUCCAUGGUGGGGAUGGAGAGGAUCCAGUGGAUGUAUCCAUUCUUCUUGAAGGAAAGCAGAUGUUGCCAGGAUGUGGCAGUACUGCUAAAGCUUGCACGCUGCUUAUGGGGCUGGUUUAUGCUCUCAACAUUGCAUACCCACCAACACUGGGCUACACUUGAGGUGUUUCAGAAACUUUUCUUAGAACUGGAUGGGAGUAAGCUCUCCCCAAAAGUACAUGCUUUAAAGUUGAAGAUGGUGUUUUAAAUGGUAUCACAAUGGCAGGUUCUGUACUUCAGCUCCCUUGGACCCUGCACUCAGAUACAGUAAAUACACUUGCAGCGGCCUUCUUCAGUUUUGACUCAUUUACUGGUUAUCCACAUCUACUGUUGUUUUUGUCAUGUGAUAUACCCUUCUAUAUGCCACUGGGAGGGAUACACUUUGUAUACACUAGAAUCAAAUAAUUAGCAGUGAUAUUUUUAUUGUAUAUUUUUGAUCUGUUCAGUGAAUGGGAAUUGAAUUGUUUAACAGAACAGCAGACACUUGAGUGAGCAAUCAGUCAUACUUGACUUUUUCAAUAGAGAUCAUUGGGGGUACAUGUGUUGUUGAUUAAUGCCAGUCAUGCCACUGUUACGUUUAUGGCUGUUGAGAUUUCAUUUGUUUAAAAUAAGGGCUCUAGUAUGUCGUUCCAAACCAGAGGAGGUUCUACUGAAUGCACCAGAAAGUGCUUGUUUGCAGACUUUACCAGUUGAUGCGAACAUUAGUGAUUUAUUGGUAUUUAAUGU